RNAcentral lists this ribosomal RNA (1379 nucleotides) under metagenome. RNAcentral describes it as "bacterial LSU rRNA". It matches the Rfam family "Bacterial large subunit ribosomal RNA", at positions 1537 to 2925 of the family's 2925-position model. The record is from RNAcentral.
CAAAAUCCGCUGGGAUUAUCUGAGACGUGAUGACGAGGCUCUUUGAGCCGAAGUUGCUGAUACCCCGCUUCCAAGAAAAACCUCUAAGCUUCAGGCAGAAAUGAGCCGUACCCCAAACCGACACAGGUGGGCGAGGAGAGUAUCCUCAGGCGUUUGAGACAACUCGGGAGAAGGAACUCGGCAAAUUAGAACCGUAACUUCGGGAUAAGGUUCGCCCACGCAAGUGGGCCGCAGUGAAGAGGGGGUUGCGACUGUUUAUCAAAAACACAGCACUCUGCAAACACGAAAGUGGACGUAUAGGGUGUGACUCCUGCCCGGUGCUGGAAGGUUAAUUGAUGGGGUCAGCCGCAAGGCGAAGCUCUUGAUCGAAGCCCCAGUAAACGGCGGCCGUAACAAUAACGGUCCUAAGGUAGCGAAACUCCUUGUCGGGUAAGUUCCGACCUGCACGAAUGGAGUAACGAUAGCCCCACUGUCUCCUUCCGAGGCUCAGUGGAAUUGAAAUCGCUGUGACGAUGCAGUGUUCCCGCGGCAAGACGGAAAGACCCCGUGAACCUUUACUAUAUCUUUACAUUGGAUUUUGAGUUUGUUUGUGUAGGAUAGGUGGGAGGCAUUGAAACCUGGACGCUAGUUCAGGUGGAGCCAACCUUGAAAUACCACCCUGAUAAACUCGGAAUUCUAACCUCGAUCAGUCAUCCUGGUCAGGGACAAUGUAUGGUGGGUAGUUUGACUGGGCGGUCUCCUCCCAAAGAGUAACGGAGGAGUGCGAAGGUCAGCUCAGCGCGGUCGGAAAUCGCGCUCUUGAGUGCAUAGGCACAAGCUGGCUUGACUGCGAGACAGACGAGUCGAGCAGGUACGAAAGUAGGUCUAAGUGAUCCGGUGGUUCUGUAUGGAAGGGCCAUCGCUCAACGGAUAAAAGGUACUCCGGGGAUAACAGGCUGAUACUGCCCAAGAGUCCAUAUCGACGGCAGUGUUUGGCACCUCGAUGUCGGCUCAUCACAUCCUGGGGCUGUAGCAGGUCCCAAGGGUCCGGCUGUUCGCCGGUUAAAGUGGUACGCGAGCUGGGUUCAGAACGUCGUGAGACAGUUCGGUCCCUAUCUGCCGUGGGCGUUCGAGAUUUGAGAGGAGUUAACCUUAGUACGAGAGGACCGGGUUGAACGUAUCUCUGGUGUUCCAGUUGUCACGCCAGUGGCAUCGCUGGGUAGCUAUAUACGGACGGGAUAAACGCUGAAAGCAUCUAAGCGUGAAGCCCACCUCGAGAUGAGAUCUCGCGGGUCUUCGAGACCCCUAAAGAGCCCUUGUAGACCACAAGGUUGAUAGGCACGGUGUGUACGGCCGGUAACGGUCAGCUAACGUGUACUAAUUGCUCGUGCGGCUUGACC